UGAGAAAACUCCUCCGAGGAAUAGUAUGCAUUUCGAAUCCUAACCUCGGCGUCUACCGGACUAGGCAGGAUCGAAGGAGUGGUGUCGGCAGGGGCAUCCUGCAGUACGACCUCUAGAAGAUCGCCGGUGGUGACGGCGGAGGUAGCGGUGAUAGGCUCAGUGGCCGGAAUAGUGCUGGAUUUGGCCAUUUAGAAAGAAUGUGAUGCAAAUAAGAAGUUUUGGAAGGGAGAUAAGCAAAAAUAGCACUCAAAUGACAGUACAGGGGAGG
RNAcentral lists this long non-coding RNA (268 nucleotides) under Panax ginseng (ginseng). RNAcentral describes it as "long non-coding RNA (PGIN_LNC007806)". The record is from RNAcentral. Lineage: Eukaryota; Viridiplantae; Streptophyta; Magnoliopsida; Apiales; Araliaceae.